GAGUUUGAUCGUGGCUCAGAGCGAACGCUGGCGGCAGGCCUAACACAUGCAAGUCGAACGAACUCUUCGGAGUUAGUGGCGGACGGGUGAGUAACACGUGGGAACGUGCCUUUUGGUUCGGAAUAACUCAGGGAAACCUGUGCUAAUACCGAAUGUGCCCUUCGGGGAAGAUUUAUCGCCAUUAGAGCGGCCCGCGUCUGAUUAGCUAGUUGGUGAGGUAAAGGCUCACCAAGGCGACGAUCAGUAGCUGGUCUGAGAGGAUGAUCAGCCACAUUGGGACUGAGACACGGCCCAAACUCCUACGGGAGGCAGCAGCGGGGAACCUUGCGCAAUGGGCGAAAGCCUGACGCAGCCAUGCCGCGUGAAUGAUGAAGGUCUUAGGAUUGUAAAAUUCUUUCACCGGGGACGAUAAUGACGGUACCCGGAGAGAAGCCCGGCUAACUUCGUGCCAGCCGCCGCGAUAAG
RNAcentral lists this ribosomal RNA (465 nucleotides) under uncultured microorganism. RNAcentral's name for it is "bacterial SSU rRNA". It matches the Rfam family "Bacterial small subunit ribosomal RNA", at positions 9 to 524 of the family's 1533-position model. The record is from RNAcentral.